GUCAGAGGCGAUGAAGGACGUGCUAAUCUGCGAAAAGCGUCGGUAAGGUGAUAUGAACCGUUACAGCCGGCGAUGUCCGAAUGGGGAAACCCAGUGUGAUUCGUCACACUAUCGUUAACUGAAUACAUAGGUUAACGAGGCGAACCGGGGGAACUGAAACAUCUAAGUACCCCGAGGAAAAGAAAUCAACCGAGAUUCCCCC
RNAcentral lists this ribosomal RNA (202 nucleotides) under Klebsiella pneumoniae. RNAcentral's name for it is "partial 23S ribosomal RNA". It matches the Rfam family "Bacterial large subunit ribosomal RNA", at positions 40 to 241 of the family's 2925-position model. The record is from RNAcentral. Lineage: Bacteria; Pseudomonadati; Pseudomonadota; Gammaproteobacteria; Enterobacterales; Enterobacteriaceae.